This 1023-nucleotide long non-coding RNA is filed under the name Sorghum bicolor (sorghum). Its description in RNAcentral is "long non-coding RNA (SBIC_LNC017162)". Lineage: Eukaryota; Viridiplantae; Streptophyta; Magnoliopsida; Poales; Poaceae. The record is from RNAcentral.
AGAUGUGCAAGUGUGAUAUAUGGUGGACUAGGUUGCUCCUUUAUUUGCUACACUCUCUCUACUUGUAUAUUGAGACAUGGCUAGCAUUUUCUUUUUUCUUCGAGCUUUAUGUGCUCAAUUUUUUUUUUGUGGACUUGCACAUGUCCAUCUUUUUAUUUCAUUUUGCCUAGGCUUUUGAUGUCUCAUUUACCAAAUAAUGCUUAGAGAGAGAUAUUCUAACAUUUAGAGUAUGGAGCAACCUAUUUAGUGGAUGCGAAAUACAUGUGGUUGCGUACUUCCAGUGUAGAAGCAGCAUAUAUAUAUGUGGUGUGUACGUGAUCUUGAUCUUAGGAGCAUGAAAAGUCUCUUAACAGGGGUCAACAAGACUUGACGACACUCAACACAAAGCAAAUAGCUUAUGUGGAAAGGUUGCAAUCAUGUAAAGUAGAUAUAGCUGUGGUAGGAAUUCAUCACGCUUGAGGAACAAUUAAGGUUUUGAUCAUUUUAAGAAUAAAUCUCUGAUAAUCAUGCAUGCUUAGAAUAAUAUUAUAGCAGCUCUUGUCUCACUAUCUCAUGUCCCACAACAACUUAGACUUAGUUCUAGCACUUGCAACCCACAAAGUUUUCAGGUUCAUGGCAGUUUAAGUGAGCUAAGUGAUCCAUACUUGGAGAAAUACUAAGUUGUAUACUAGGUACUAGAGAAACAUUAACAAGCAACUAGUCAUCAUUUCCAUGAGGGAUAUAGACAUACAUGAAGCAUAUAUGCUAAAGGAAAAUGCUAAUUUUUUUUAGAGCAGGAAUGAUAAAAUGCAUGGAAAUAAAUAGGAUAGAAUACUUACCUUGGUGGGGGAGAGGAUCUCCCCCAAGCUUGUCCUUCCUCACUGGGGUGGAUACGAUGGAUAUGGUGGAUAUGGUGGAGGAUAUUGCUGUGGAGGAUAUUGUGCAGGAGGAGGUGGAUAUGCAUGUGGUGGUUGAGGAAUGUAUGGUGGUACGGGCAGGUGAUAUGAUGUGUAGGCUUGGCACCAGUUUCUAUUGCUGCUCUCC